UUAGUUUAAGAAUCGCACUGGGACAUCGGAAAAUAACUGGGCAAUGCACAGCCAUUAGGAAGACUUUAAGAAAAAAAAAAACGACAGCUACUGCAAAACAUCAAAGUUACAAGCGAUUAUUCCGACUGUUGAAAUUUCAACACCCGACCCCCAAGGAUCUAAGCAUGAUUUAAGCAGUAGGAGAGGCCUGAAAACCUGCAUAUCUAGCUCACAAUACAUUCAUAAGAAGAAAAAUAGAUAACUUUAGAUCUGCCAUAUCACUACUAAACAAAGAACGAACCUUCCCUUUA
Non-coding RNA from Schizosaccharomyces pombe (fission yeast), 290 nucleotides. The record is from the annotation of a GenBank genome assembly. Lineage: Eukaryota; Fungi; Ascomycota; Schizosaccharomycetes; Schizosaccharomycetales; Schizosaccharomycetaceae.